This 407-nucleotide ribosomal RNA is filed under the name uncultured bacterium. Its description in RNAcentral is "partial 16S ribosomal RNA". It matches the Rfam family "Bacterial small subunit ribosomal RNA", at positions 28 to 526 of the family's 1533-position model. The record is from RNAcentral.
GACGAACGCUGGCGGCGUGCCUAAUACAUGCAAGUAGGACGCAGUUGCGAACGGGUGAGUAACGCGUAGGUACCUACCUAUUAGUGGGGGAUAACUAUUGGAAACGAUAGCUAAUACCGCAUACUAGUAGAUGGACCUGCGUUGUAUUAGCUAGUAGGUCGGGUAAUGGCCUACCUAGGCAACGAUACAUAGCCGACCUGAGAGGGUGAUCGGCCAAACUGGGACUGAGACACGGCCCAAACUCCUACGGGAGGCAGCAGUAGGGAAUCUUCGGGAAUGGGGGGAAACCUGACCGAGCAACGCCGCGUGAGUGAAGAAGGGUUUCGGAUCGUAAAGCUCUGGUGUUAAGGAAGCGGUACUUAACCAGAAAGGGACGGCUAACUACGUGCCAGCCGCCGCGGUAAUUC